CAAAGGCAUGGUCCCGACCUUAUUAUUAACUCUAACCCAACUUACACAUGCAAGUCUCCGCAACCCAGUGAAUAUGCCCUCAAUCCCCCGCCCGGGGAAGAGGAGCAGGCAUCAGGCACAAAAGUUAGCCCAAAACGCCUAGCCUAGCCACACCCCCAAGGGAAUUCAGCAGUGAUAAACAUUAAGCCAUAAGUGAAAACUUGACUCAGUUAGUGUUAAGAGGGCCGGUAAAAUUCGUGCCAGCCACCGCGGUUAAACGAGAGGCCCUAGUUAAUAAUACAACGGCGUAAAGGGUGGUUAAGAAUAAAUAUAAAUAAAGCCA
This 322-nucleotide ribosomal RNA is filed under the name Tariqilabeo burmanicus (Burmese latia). RNAcentral describes it as "partial 12S ribosomal RNA". The record is from RNAcentral. Lineage: Eukaryota; Metazoa; Chordata; Actinopteri; Cypriniformes; Cyprinidae.